RNAcentral lists this ribosomal RNA (345 nucleotides) under Paludibacteraceae bacterium. RNAcentral's name for it is "partial 23S ribosomal RNA". It matches the Rfam family "Bacterial large subunit ribosomal RNA", at positions 2567 to 2925 of the family's 2925-position model. The record is from RNAcentral. Lineage: Bacteria; Pseudomonadati; Bacteroidota; Bacteroidia; Bacteroidales; Paludibacteraceae.
AAGGGUUAGGCUGUUCGCCUAUUAAAGUGGAACGCGAUCUGGGUUCAGAACGACGUGAGACAGUUAGGUCCCUAUCUGUUGUGGGCGCAGGGUAUUUGAGGAGAACUGACACUAGUACGAGAGGACCGUGUCGGACGCACCUCUGGUAUGCCGGUCGGAUCGCCAGGUCCGCCGCCGGGUCGCCAAGUGCGGGCAGGAUAAGCGCUGAAAGCAUCUAAGCGCGAAGCCGUCUUCGAGAUGAGAUACCCAUGAGGGAGGUUAUAGACGAUGACCUUGAUAGGCCUCAGGUGUAAAGGCGGAGACGUCAAAGCCGAGAGGUACUAAUAUCCCGAAAGAGUUUCCUCG